UCCCGGGUCGUCUAAUCGGCAGGACAUGGGGUUUUGGCCCCCACGGUGGUGGUUCGAGUCCACCCCCGGGAUCCA
RNAcentral lists this transfer RNA (75 nucleotides) under Thermodesulfatator atlanticus. RNAcentral's name for it is "tRNA-Gln". It matches the Rfam family "tRNA". From Rfam's summary of the family: Transfer RNA (tRNA) molecules are approximately 80 nucleotides in length. Their secondary structure includes four short double-helical elements and three loops (D, anti-codon, and T loops). Lineage: Bacteria; Pseudomonadati; Thermodesulfobacteriota; Thermodesulfobacteria; Thermodesulfobacteriales; Thermodesulfatatoraceae. RNAcentral also lists the same sequence under 1 other name. The record is from RNAcentral.